RNAcentral lists this transfer RNA (72 nucleotides) under Grosmannia clavigera kw1407. Its description in RNAcentral is "tRNA-Pro (TGG) (tRNA-Pro-TGG-1-1)". It matches the Rfam family "tRNA". Rfam says of the family: Transfer RNA (tRNA) molecules are approximately 80 nucleotides in length. Their secondary structure includes four short double-helical elements and three loops (D, anti-codon, and T loops). The record is from RNAcentral. Lineage: Eukaryota; Fungi; Ascomycota; Sordariomycetes; Ophiostomatales; Ophiostomataceae.
GGCUCUGUGGUCUAGUGGUACGAUUCAUGUUUUGGGUACAUGAGGUCCCGGGUUCGAUCCCCGGCAGGGCCC